GUGGGGAAUUUUGGACAAUGGGCGCAAGCCUGAUCCAGCCAUGCCGCGUGUUUGAAGAAGGUCUUCGGAUUGUAAAGCACUUUAAGUUGGGAGGAAGGGCAGUAAGUUAAUACCUUGCUGUUUUGACGUUACCGACAGAAUAAGCACCGGCUAACUUCGUGCCAGCAGCCGCGGUAAUACGAAGGGUGCAAGCGUUAAUCGGAAUUACUGGGCGUAAAGAGCGCGUAGGUGGUUUUGUAAGUUGGAGGUGAAAUCCCCGGGCUCAACCUGGGAACUGCCUCCAAAACUGCAUGACUAGAGUACGGUAGAGGGUCGUGGAAUUUCCUGUGUAGCGGUGAAAUGCGUAGAUAUAGGAAGAAACACCAGUGGCGAAGGCGACUACCUGGACUGAUACUGACACUGAGGUGCGAAAGCGUGGGGAGCAAACAGGAUUAGAAACCCCGGUAGUCC
RNAcentral lists this ribosomal RNA (450 nucleotides) under uncultured bacterium. RNAcentral's name for it is "bacterial SSU rRNA". It matches the Rfam family "Bacterial small subunit ribosomal RNA", at positions 354 to 796 of the family's 1533-position model. The record is from RNAcentral.